Molecule: long non-coding RNA, 1463 nt
Organism: Cercocebus atys (sooty mangabey)
Lineage: Eukaryota; Metazoa; Chordata; Mammalia; Primates; Cercopithecidae
Exons: 2
Source: RefSeq, a predicted model, not a curated record
UGGAGCGUCCUCUUCCUAGUUCCCCGCGUUCUCUGCACCCUGAAGUCGCUGCAGUGACCUCCCUACCUGACUCUUAGGGGAUUUCCCCUGAGAAUUUGGGGGCCGGGGGGAGAAGGUGGUAGGCUUAAUCUGUUGUUGUUGUAUUUUGACUGGGGGCUUGAUUUCUUUUGUCGAGAGCUGAACCAGAAAGGGUUCGCAUGGCUGCGAUGUGCUUGCUAAUAUCGUGACUCUUGACUCCUGCAGAGUAUCCGAGAGGGUCUCCUGGCGUCUGUUUUAAGGUUCUCUGGAAGGGACAAUGGUCAGGGACCCCACUCCUCCGGGAGAUUCUGAUCAAAGGUCACGUCCUUCGCCAGCCUCUAGUGUCCAGCCAGAGGUCUUAAAUUUAUUCAACCGUAAGAUUGAGAUGACAUCUGCCUGGGCUGUUGAGAGCACUGAAAAAGCUAAUAUACUUGUGGCGCUUAGUAUACUGUUCCAGGCCUCUGGUAGGCGCCUUUUCUUUUCUCCCUGCUCCGGAUCUUUCGAUUCUAGGAAUGUGUUCGGAGUGGUAAACAUUGGGUAAGAUACUGUGAAAUGGGAAUGGGGGUGUGAAUGUGUGGGGAGUUUGAAUGUUGCAAUCUUAACUUCAGUGGCGCAUACACAGAGGAGAAGAAAAGAAUGACGAUGGAAACUUUCGGGAAAAUCCCAUCUGGAUGAAAAUAAACCAGGAGGAGAGAGAGAAGACAAGCAGAAAAGUUGCAAGAGAACUAGAACCCUAAGAGGAGAAGCAGUUUUCACCUUCUUAGUAGCAAAUCUUGUUUUUCUCUAUAGUGGUUUUUAUUAACUUCCAAAGGAAAACUGAAGAUCCUAACCCCUGUGUCAUGAGUUACCACGUUAGAAGUCCAUAGAAAAAAAAUUUUUUGAACCCAGUUCUUUUUGUGUAUAUAUUUUUUGCCUUGAUAAUAAUAGUUUAUUGAGUUUAUCGAGUGACACAUUGCCUAAUCGUAUGGCUUAUUUUUAAUUCCUCAGAUACAUGAUCUUUCUGUAUAGUCUUAAACAGUCUUUACCCCUAGUCACUUUGGAUGAAAAGCUUGGUAGAGAGGUUGAGUUUGAUAUCUAAGUGUCAGUGGCAUCAAACUCAGGGAGCCAGGUAUUAUGAUAAAGUGCUUAACAUAUUCAAUGAAUCCCUACAACAGGCUGAAGAUGUUAUUUUUAUCACCAUUUUAAAAAAUGUUUAUUCACUUGUAAUUGAAGACCUCUACGCUGCACAUAUAUAAAGCUGUAAGUUUGGUUUGAUCAGUUUUGACAUAUAUGUAUACCCAUUAAACCAUUACUACAAUAAAAAUAAUCUUCCGUCAUUCCCAAAAGUUUUCUUGUGCCCUUUGUAAUCCAUCUCUCUUUCCAACUUCAUACCGAAGCAACCACUUUCUGUCAGUAGAGACUAUUUUGCAUUUUCUUGAAUCUUAAAUAAAUGAAAUCAUACACAG